Molecule: ribosomal RNA, 440 nt
Filed under: uncultured bacterium
Lineage: Bacteria
Description: partial 16S ribosomal RNA
Rfam family: Bacterial small subunit ribosomal RNA
Source: RNAcentral
CCUACGGGAGGCAGCAGUGGGGAAUAUUGCACAAUGGGGGAAACCCUGAUGCAGCAACGCCGCGUGAGUGAAGAAGUAUUUCGGUAUGUAAAGCUCUAUCGUCAGGGAAGAAGGUGACUGUACCUGAAUGAGAAGCCCCGGCUAACUACUUGCCAGCAGCCGCGGUAAUACGUAGGGGGCAAGCGUUAUCCAGAUUUACUGUGGGGAAAGGGAGCGGAGACGGCAGUGCAAGGCUGGAGUGAAAGCCCAGGGCCCAAACCCGGGAAUGCUCUGGAAACUGUGCGGCUAGAGUACUGGAGGGGACGGCGGAAUUCCUAGUGUAGCGGUGAAAUGCGUAGAUAUUAGGAGGAACACCAGUGGCGAAGGCGGCCGGCUGGACAGUAACUGACGUUGAGGCUCGAAAGCGUGGGGAGCAAACAGGAUUAGAUACCCCUGUAGUC